This 537-nucleotide long non-coding RNA is filed under the name Monodelphis domestica (gray short-tailed opossum). RNAcentral describes it as "lncRNA (ENSMODG00000041488.1)". Lineage: Eukaryota; Metazoa; Chordata; Mammalia; Didelphimorphia; Didelphidae. The record is from RNAcentral.
AAGCACUUAAUAAAUGUUUGUGAACUAAGUGACUAAUUGUGGAUCAUUUUUAUGACAGAGCAGAAGUCAAUCUGUCUAGAGACACUUACAGAGACAGUUUGAAUCAGCAUGGAGACAAGCAGAUGAGCAGUCAGCAUAUGAGAGAGAUGGGCAGAAAAGCAGUGCGGGAAGUCAGGGGAAGACAGAUGGCCGCAUAGCUGAUUGCUGGCCCAGCAGCUGCAGAGACUAUCACUCACAGCAAACUGAGGCUGCAUAAUGUUGCCAGAGAGUGAAGAGUGUAAAUGAGGGCCUUGAGCUGGACUCCCUGGGCCCUUCUGAUUUGUAAGGAUCUGAUUUAUUAUUCGUAAGUGUCUGAUUUAUUAUUCAGUGACUUCUCUGUGCAAUUGUCAGGGCGGGGAAGUGGAGCCAUUUACUCUGUCUCCAGGACGUAUGCAAACAAUUUAAUCUUCCAGUGUGGUUCCUUAAUGUAAAUGUUUAAUACAAACCUGAUGUUAACAUGAGCGUACAUGAGUUUACUGGCAGGCUUAGCUACAACUU